CUCGGGUAUUACACUAAAAGGAUGACUUCAAUAUGUAAAAAUACAUAAUGUGCAGAAGGCACAAGUCACAUGGUUGUCAAAAUAAGUCCAUCAACAAAUAAUUAUAUGGUGUAAUUAGAUCCAGAGUAAUUCAUUCACUAAUGUUUACUUUACUACACCAAAUAAUGUAAUUGGUUUCAUUGUAUGGAACCAACUCAUGAAUCAAGAAUUCAUAAUGGCUCGAAUUACAGACAAGUUAGAGUAGUGCUACCAUUAACGGUGAAUGUAAAAGAUGUCAAUAUAAUAAAUAGCGAAACUGAAAAAAGAGUAGACCAGAGAAAAGGAAAAAAUAGAAAAUAGUAUUUGAGGCCUCCAUGGAAUAAUGAUUGGCAACUAAACCGCCAAAAAAAUCUACAACCUCAUACGAUUGAGCUUUGUAUUCAGUAUUAACAAAUCAUUGUCAAGCUGCCUUCUUUGACAAGCCAGAAAAGCAUGAGUCCAAGGCAAAAGAGAAAUAAAAUCAAGAAGGAAGAACGGGCGAGUCAGUGUAGAAUCUUGAUACCUCUGUCACUGUGUAACAACGACGAACACAAGGGAAGCUUAGCAAAAAUGGGCGAAAAAGGUAAAAAAAACAUCUAAGAAGUAAAGACCUCUAAUAAAACAAAUGGCAGCAAAGGAUAAGCAUAGCAAACCUGUAGCUUCAUUGUCAUUUUUGUUAAAGCCUGUAAUUUCUCAAAUAAGUCUCUAGAAGCCUUUGAUUGACUGUUAGACAUGUACCCAGAGCAAUUAACUACAAGCUUUAUGAAAUAAUGUCUUAUGAAAUUACUCUACAUUACUGAAUUAAUGCACCAAUACAGUUUUUCAAGAAGAUAAAGAUAGUGGGUUACUUGAAUUUAUAGAAGAGAAACCCACCAAUCAUAACAAAUGAGAAGCACGCUGCAAGAAGCACCACCAAAAACCUGCAUAACCCCAAUUUAAGAUUCAUUCUAUCAAGUAAUAGAUUGACAUUGUCAAGUAGACGCACUUUAGGAGAUCUGUCAAAAGAAAUGUAUGAAACAACAGAUUGGCAGAGUUCAGCAAUACUAAACCUCCCUUGCGUGAUUUUUUAACCUAUUUUAAGUAUACACGUGUUGACCAAAACCCAUUCCUUUCUCUACUACUAAAUUAAGAGCUUCUCAUUUCUGAUGGCUCAAACAUGUUGAUUACACAUAAUUGUAGUUAGUUAUACUGAAUCUAAUAAUAAUUGUUGUUAAUUAGCACCUAUAUAUGACAACUAUUAUAAAUUUGGUUGUGGCUUGAUAGUCAACUAUAUGCAAAUGUAAUAGAAUAUAACAACGUACCCACCAUAACAGCCCCCACCAUCUAGGGCUUGAUUGUAAAAUGUAAACUUUAUUUUGUAUUUUUCUAUAACUGAUAUAACAGCCCUGCAACUGAUGUAACAGCCCCUUAGUUUUGGCCUUUGGGCAUCAUAAUUGCUAAAGAUAUUAUAUAAGGCUAGAGAUCAAGCAUAAAAAGUUAAAAUUAUACACAAUUAAGAGGAAAAAAUUACACCAAGGGGGAAAUUCACUUUACUUACGUGGCAACAUUUUUCUCAAGUUGUAUGUUGAAUAAAUAAAGUAAUCGUGAAAAGUUCCAUCUGAUAUCUUGUAAUGAAGGAAAAGAUACAUCCAACUGAAGAGGUGUGGGCUUAUUCAAGGAAUUAAAUAUACAAGCAAAAGGAAAGCUUGCCGUCACAGAUGUUCGAAUGACAUGAAAGAAUAAGUCUUGGACCAUAUUAAACACUGUAUUGCCGGAAUUUGGUUGUAUCAAUGUGACCAGGAAAUAAGAUGACAGACAGGCUAUCGUGAGUUUAGUUUGUGGACCCAGCACAUGCUGUAAUGCAAAUAUAAAUCAGUUUAAAUAUUUGUGGUUGCAACAAGCAUGAUAUGCGUAUCAACCUAUAACUAAAUGGAUAUGAGCAAAUGUGUCUUACUCUUUUUAUAUAAAAGAAUGACUUGUUAAAAGAGAUUAAGAAAAGGAAGAAGUUACAGUGGAAGAGGACCAGGAGCCCUCUUAAAAGACUAAAUAAGUAAAAGUUAAUUAUAUAGUACAGCGUUCCAAUCCCUCUGGAUAUCAUAAUCUCUAUCACCUUGAUAUGACCCUCUAGUAAAAAAUCAUUACAAAAUAAAGUUAUAUUCUCUCUUUAGAUUAGAAGAAAGGACAAACUUGACACUAAAAGACACUUGGAUUUCUCUCCAAACAAAUACCAAAGAACCUCAAACAAUAACAAAUAUCUUAAAGAUAUUUCCAUCCUUGCCACCACCAAAUCCUCAAACUUGAAAAGAAGAACAUUUUCAAUGCCAGAAGUCAAAUCUUAGAUAUCUCAAAAAUAUCAAACAAAGUAUUCUAGAGAAAAUUUUUAUGACUCUCAUGUUCUUUGGUACCAACUCUUAACAAUUCAUUAAUAGAAGGUUUCUCUACAAAGAAAAAAAUGAGGAAGAGGAAUGGUACUAUUUUUUGCUUAAAACUACAUAAAUAAUCAGGAAGGGAAUGCAGCAAAUUAAAAAGUUGGAUAAAAACUGACCUCUAAAAACCGGACCAUGUGAUUUAUAUAUAAUUCAGAUUGGACGAAUUAAAAAAUAAAGGCUAGAAUACAUUCCAACAAUAUGAAAUAAAUCAAAAAUUAAUAGACAUAUCUCAAUUACUAACUGAAAUUUUUAAAGUAAAAGUUCAUUCUUAUCAAUUUUGUGCUUCAACUCCUACUUAAUUAAAGCACACCUGAGAAUGGUUUUUGAGGUCCAUCUUCAAUAUCUUAUCAUUUAAAUUCUUUGAAAUACUCAAAUUAGUAGCAUAAUCCAGUUUGGCCCUUGUCGUUUGAGAAUUGACUUCCCACUUCCCUGGCAAAUAAUGAACGGAAUCAUCACAAGGGCAAAACAUAGGUCUUAAAAAAAAUAGCAUGGGUGAUGAGUAUGAAAUAUGUUAUAUUUUUAUUCUUUAAUACUUAAUUUUUUAUAUUUAUUUUGUGCCUAAAUACACUCAUUGUUCUUAUAUUUUUAUUUUAGGUAUAAUUGAAAAUUUCCGUGAAUUUGAAAAUAAUUUGAAGACAAAUUGAGUAUUAUUGGAUUAAAGGAGCUAAUAUUCAAGUGGGUCACGAAUUAUUCAAUUGGAGAAAGAAUUCCUAGCAAUCAAAAGCAAUGCACGGAUUCCAAACUAAUAUUAUGGGCAACAUGAGAUCCUAGCCCAAUUAAUGCUCCAACAUAACAAGUACCCAUCCAAUCCUUUUAAAUUAAUAUUACAAAUCAUGUGGGCCACAGUUUGCUUUUGUUUUCAUGCAGCAAACUUGCAAUCCUUACAUUUAUUCACGUGGGCAAUAUAUUCAUGGAUUCUAAUUCUAAUUGGAAGAGGAUCCACUAAGUCACAAAGAAUUUAGCAGCUUCACGCGACAUGGAAAAAUCCGAACGCGGCAUGGAGAGUUGGCACAAGGCAUAUUGUGGAAUUUAAUUCCAAUUUCAAAUCUGAUUUUUGGAUUCUAGAAAAUUAAUUUUUACAAUUCUAUUGUAAUUAGGAUUUCUUUUAGACUAAGAUUUAUUUCCAAGUUGAAUUCUAUUUCUCUAUGGAAAUUAGUGUAAUUUGUAAUUUCUUUAGGAUUUGGAUUUCUACUUCCUAUAGGAUUUAGGACUUUGUCUAGCACUAUAAAUAGAGGAUGAGAGUCGGGGUUUUAUUCAUUCAACAAUCAAUUAUCAUCUAUUAGAGUGCACACUCAAGAGUAUGUCAGGCUAGUUCUUUUCAUUCAGUUCUAAAGGGAGGUAGAACCUUGUUACAAGUAAUUAAUUAAUUGAGUAUUAUUAUUUAUUACUUCUUGUGUGAAAUUUCUUUUGAUAAUCUGUUUUCAUUGAUUGCACGCUAAUUGAUCUAAUUAAUUUAAUAUGGUCAAUUGAGUUAGUUUGGUCGUUAUCAUAUGCUAGAUUAAGAUUGGUAUUACGUGUAAUUGAUAACUAUCUUCGUCACUAGUAGUAACUUGAUAAUAAUAAUUAUGGACAAGCUUUUGUUUAUUGCUAAGAUUAUCAAAAAACAAGUUAAACAAAUCGAGCUUAUGCGUUUGUUACUUGGAUUAGCCUAAUUCUCUAUUUCUUAAUGCUUCUAUCAUAUUAAAUCUAGAGAGCUUAUUAUAGGUUGUAUGCUAGUUAGAAUCUAGUGGAGAGCUUGUUUCAUAUAGUGAUAAUCUAAGGAGAAUUUCGGAUAGCAGAGCUUAUUGUUAUCUAGGGCUAAUAAUUUCAUUGAAGGGAAAAAAAUAAUUAAUUGAUUAAUUGAUUGUUGUACUUGGUGAAACUGAACUGCAGAACUGAAGUUUUUACAUAUUUGGUUAAAUCAUUAAUUCUUGUUCUCUUAGUUUAAAAAUAAUUUUCAAAAACCCCCAUCUUUAUUUUCUAUCAAAAUAAUAGAAUAAAUAUAAAACAAAUUACUCUCUGUGGGAUCGAUCCUUACUUACUAAUAGAACUCUCAGGGAUGGCGAUUCAAAACAACAAUAGAACUCUCAGCGAGUUGGCAACUCCUAAUUUAAAUAAACAACCUCUGUGCAAUGAAUAUCCUAAUUUAGAUGUUGCAUUUGAACUUAAAUCAGGACUAAUCCAUUUACUGCCUACUUUUCGUGGUCUUACAGGUGAGGACCCUUUCAAACAUCUAAAGGAAUUUCAUGUGGUGUGCUCUACUAUGAAACCACAUGGAAUCACCGAAGAGCAAAUCAAGUUGAGAGCAUUCCCAUUCUCCCUAGCAGAUUUGGCAAAGGAUUGGUUGUACUACCUACCCUCAGGUUCAAUACAGUCUUGGAAUGACAUGAAGCAGUUGUUCUUGGAGAGAUACUUUCCAGCCUCAAGAGUAGCCAACAUAAGGAAGGAGAUCUGUUAGAUUAGACAAUUCAGUGGGGAGACACUAUACGAGUAUUGGGAAAGAUUCAAAAAGCUUUAUUCUAGCUGUCCACCGCAUCAAAUAGAUGAACAAUACCUGAUCCAAUAUUUCUACGAAGGGUUGGCACCGAUGGAUAGAAGCAUGAUCGAUGCAGCUAGCGAAGGGGCACUAGUUGACAAGACCCCAAAGGCUGCAAGGAAUUUAAUUGUAAACAUGGUAGCAAACUCGCAACAAUAUGGCACUAGAACAAAUCAUGCACCAGUAAGGGUAAGCGAGGUAAGCACUUGUGAUUAUGGUCAACAAAUUUCUGAAUUAACUGCUAUGGUUAGACAAUUAGCUACAGGUCAACUUCCAGUUGCAAAGGUUUGUGAAAUAUGUUUACAAUCAAAUCACAAUACAGAUCAAUGCCCAACAUUACAAGAUGACGAGGCUGUGCAACAAGCUAAUGCAAUGGGAAAUUAUUAGCCACCUCCUCAGAGAAAGUAUGAUCCGUACUCAAACACGUAUAACCCAGGAUGGAGGGAUCAUCUAAAUCUGAGUUAUGGGAGCAAGCAAGCGGCACCACCUGCAUUUCCACCUAGACAGCAGGGCUUCCAACCAGCCUAACCUCAAUAUCAACCGAAGCAAGCAGUCCCUGCACCUACUGGAACAUCAUUGGAGGAUAUGUUCAAAGCAUUCAUGGGACAAACACAACAAUUCAUGCAAGAGACAAAAACUUCGGUUCAAGAUUUGAGGAACCAAUUAGGACAAUUGGCUACAACUGUGGGGAUAUUGGAAUCCAGAGGCUCAGGAAAAUUACCAUCUCAAACAGUAGUCAACCCAAGGGAGAAUGCAAGUGCCAUAACUUUACGGAAUGGAACACAGUUGGAUACACCACCGACCCCCGUAGAGUUCGAGAAGGAAGCAGCUAAGGAAGAAACAAAAAAAUCCAAGGUGCAACCUAACCCUCCUAAUCAGCUUAAAAACAUUCCUCUUCCCUUUCCUCCCAGAAAUUCUAAAACCUCAAAGAAAGAUGAAAAAAAAAAAGAAAUUUCGAAAACUUUUAGAAAAGUAGAAGUGAACAUCCCUCUUCUUGAUGUAAUUAAACAAGUACCAUGGUAUGCUAAAUUUUUAAAAGAAUUAUGCACUAAUAAAAGAAAAUUGCAAAAUGAUGAAAGAGUCACAGUUGGAGAAAAUGUAUCUGUUGUUCUUCAAAGAAAAAUGCCUCCUAAAUGUAAAGAUCCAGGAAUGUUCACAAUCCCAUGCAAAAUAGGAAACAUCAGAUUUGAAAAAGGCAUGCUAUAUUUAGGAGCUUCAAUUAAUGUUAUGCCUUUAUCUGUUUAUGCCUCCUUAAAUCUAGGCCCUUUGAAAAAUACUGGUGUGAUUAUCCAAUUGGCAGAUCGUACUAACACCUACCCCCGAGGGGUAAUUGAAGAUGUCUUAGUGCAGAUGAACGAACUAAUCUUUCCUGCAGAUUUUUACAUUGUGGAUAUGGAAGAUGAUACAUCACCAAACCCUUCCCACAUCUUGUUAGUAAAACCCUUCCUAAAAACAGCAAGAACUAUGAUUGAUGUGCAUAAUGGGACCUUGACUAUGGAGUUUGAUGAUGAGAAAAUUUAGUUUAACAUCUAUGAUGCCAUGAGGUACCCUACUGAUAUAGGACAGGUUUUUGCUAUCGAUGUGAAAGACUCCUUGGUGCAUAGAGCUUUUGAACAACUACAUAGGGACAGUUUAGAAAUUGCAAUCACCAACAGUUUGGACAUGGACAGGGAAGAAGAGAUUACGCAAACCCAAGAAUUGAAGGAGAAUGUAGCUGCAUUACAUUCAUUGCCAAAAUUCUCAAAUAAGUUAGCAGUACAUUCUAUUUAAUUUCUUGUUUCUCAUCAAAAGUUAUUACCUUCUGUUGUACAAGCCCCAACUCUAGAAUUGAAACAAUUACCUGCUCAUUUGAAAUAUGCAUAUUUGGGGACUAAUGACACUUUGCCUGUAAUUAUUGCUAGUAAUCUAACCAAGGUGCAGGAAGAAAAAUUGCUGAGAGUCCUAAAGCACCAUGUUACAGUUUUUGGAUGGACAAUAGCGGAUAUCAAGGGUAUUAGUCCUGCCAUGUGCAUGCAUCGGAUAUUGUUAGAGGAUGGAGCUAAGCCUACAAGAGAUGCGCAAAGGAGAUUGAAUCCAUCCAUGAUGGAGGUGGUGAAAAAAGAAGUGCUCAAAUUGCUUGAUGUCGGUAUCAUCUAUCCCAUCUCCGAUAGUCAAUGGGUGAGUCCAGUGCAGGUAAUCCCAAAGAAAUCCGGAAUCACCAUUGUCAAGAAUUAUGAUAAUGAGUUGGUGCCCACACGAAUGCAAACAGGGUGGAGAGUAUGUAUAGAUUAUAGAAAAUUGAAUGUUGUAACAAGAAAGGAUCACUUUCCUCUUUCUUUUAUUGAUCAAAUGUUGGAGAGAUUAGUUGGGCACACUUAUUAUUGUUUUCUAGAUGGUUUUUCAGGAUAUAACCAGAUUGUGAUUGCACCCGAGGACCAAGAGAAGACCACAUUCACAUGUCCCUUUGGUACUUUUGCCUAUCGACGGAUGUCUUUUGGACUGUGUAAUGCCCCAAGUACUUUUCAACGAUGCAUGGUAAGCAUUGUUUUCAAAUCUUUUAGAAGAAUGCUUCGAGGUUUUUAUGGAUGAUUUUACAAUUCAUGGUGAUUCUUUGGAUGCAUGCUUAGAUAAUUUAAAUCGUGUUCUAGAUAGAUGCAUGGAAACUAAUCUUGUUUUAAAUUGGGAAAAAUGUCAUUUCAUGGUAGAACAGGGAAUAGUACUUGGACAUGUUAUGUCAUCUAAAGGUCUUGAAGUUGAUAAAGCUAAGAUAAAUGUUAUAUCUGCUUUGCCUUACCCCGUCAGCGUGCGGGAGAUUCGCUCUUUUCUUGGUCAUGCAAGAUUUUAUCGAAUAUUUAUCGAGGACUUCUCGAAGAUUGCAUUACCCUUAUGUAAGUUGCUACAAAAAGAUGUGGACUUUCAGUUUGAUGGUGAAUGCAAGGAGGCUUUUGACACUUUAAAGAAAUUAUUAACUUCUGCCCCUGUCAUUCAACUGCCAAAUUAGAAGUUGUCAUUUGAGAUCAUGUGUGACGCAAGCAACUAUGCAGUGGGGGCUGUUUUGGGACAAAGGAUUGACAAAGCCGUUCAUGCCAUCUACUAUGCUUCGAGGACUUUGAAUGAGGCUCAGAUAAACUAUUCCACAACUAAAAAAGAACUUUUAUCUGUGGUUUUUGCUUUAGAUAAAUUUCAAUCAUAUUUGCUUGGUACUAAAAUUAUAGUUUAUUCUGACCAUGCUGCUCUCAGGUAUUUGCUCACCAAGAAAGAUUCUAAAUCAAGGAUUAUUCGAUAGAUUCUGCUCUUACAAGAAUUUGACUUAGAGAUCAAGGAUAAAAAAGGUGCGGACAACUUAGUAGCAGAUCACUUGAGUAGGUUAUUGAGAGACGAGGAAGAGCUACCGUUACAUGAUUCUUUCCCGGAUGAGCAGUUACUUUCCAUCCAUGCUGAGAUUCCCUGGUAUGCAGAUAUGGUGAAUUAUUUGGUAAGUGCAUAUUUUCCUAAAGAAUUUUCCAAAUCCUAAAAGGAAAAGUUAAAAAGUGAUGCUAGACACUAUGUUUGGGAUGAUCCAUACUUGUGGAAAUUUGUGCUGACCAGAUAGUUAGACGAUGUGUGCCUAACAGUGAAUUUCAAUCUAUUCUUUCCUUUUGUCAUUCUUAUGCUUGUGGAGGACAUUUUGGUCCAAAAAGAACUGCUAAUAAAGUUUUGGAAAGUGGUUUUUAUUGGCCAUCGCUUUUUAAAGAUUCCUAUUUGUUUUGUAAAACAUGUGUUAAUUGCCAAAGGACGGGGAAUAUUUCUCAACAAAAUCAAAUGCCCCAAACUCCUAUAUUAGUUGUUGAGAUUUUUGAUGUAUGGGGUAUAGAUUUUAUGGGACCUUUUUCCUUCAUCAUUUGGGAAUUUAUUCAUUCUUUUGGCUGUUGAUUAUGUCUCAAAAUGGGUGGAAGUUAAAGCCACUAGGACUGACGAUUCUAAAGUUGUUGCAGAUUUUGUUAGGACUAACAUAUUUGUCAGGUUUGGAACACCACGAGCCAUCAUUAGUGAUCGCGGAACCCACUUUUGCAACAGGGUGUUAGCGGUUUUGUUCACGAAAUACAAUGUUCUGCGCAGAGUAAUGGUCAAGUUGAGGUGUCUAACAGAGAGAUAAAAUCCAUUUUGGAGAAGGUAUUCAACCCGAGCAGAAAGGAUUGGAGUAUGAGAUUAGAUGAUGCACUUUGGGCCUAUAGAACUGCGUAUAAAACAACUAUUGGGAUGUCACCAUACAGGAUUGUGCUUGGAAAACCAUGCCACUUACCUGUUGAGUUGGAGCAUAGGGCUUUUUGGGCAAUCAAGCAGUGCAACAUGAGUUUGGAGGCAGCUGGAGUACACAGGAAAUUACAGUUACAAGAGUUAGAAGAAUUGAGGAAUGAAGCCUAUGAAAGUUCAAAGAUUUUCAAGGAAAAGACCAAAGUUUUUCAUGAUAUGCAGAGCGGAAAACCUUUAUUGUGGGACAGUUUUGCUAUAUCAUUCUCGGAUUAAGUUAUUUCCAGGUAAAUUGAGAUUUAGAUGGGUUGGUCCUUUUGUUAUCACUAAUGUGUUUCCUCAUGGUGCAAUUGAGAUUCAAAGCCCGAGCACAAGCAAGAUCUUUAAGGUGAAUGGACAUAGAUUAAAGCCUUUCUAUGAGGGGCAUCAGGUGGAAAAUAUUGAGAUGGUGGAGCUAGACGAUCCGAUCUAUGAAAGCUGAGAAGAGAGGCAUGACGUUGAGCCAAAGACGUUAAACACGGGCAGCUGCUUGGGAGGCAAUCCAAGAUCUCAGAUUUGAUUUUUCUAUCCCUUCACUUUUUAGUUUUUUUUAUUGUAUGUUAGCUAGUAGUAUUUUCUUCUUCGCAUGAUUUUUUUACAUUGGGGACAGUGUAAGGUUUGAGUGUGGGGGGGGGGGGAGAUUUAGGUUUUAUUUUAUGUAGGAAUAAUAAUCCAAUUUUGAUGGGAAGUUCAAAAAAUUGAAAAAAAUCUGAUUUUUUUUUUUUGAAAACUUGGGUUCCAUGGUUCUAUUUGCCUAUGUGUUCGAAGGUUAAAGUCAAAGAUUGAAAAUUGAUACUAAAAUUCAUAAUCUGGUUGAUGCUUAAUUUGUUAAUGAAUGAUGACAACUAAGCCAUGAUCCAUAGUAAUUGAUUUAAAUUGAAUUUGUGAUACAUGAGUACUUGAAUAUGAGAAGCAUGUUUAUUUGCCUAAGUUAAUUGUGGAGUUGUCUAUGUGCACUGAUUUCAUGACUUAGAACUGUUUAACUUGUUUAUGUUGUUGCAGAACCAUGUGAAAAAAAUGAUGAAUGAAAAAAAAAAGGAAAAAAAUGAAAAUUGAAAAUCUGCUUCAAUGUCCAUUGUGCGAAUAACUGGGUAUCUAAGCCUCGAGAAGCAUCGGUAUUCAUGCUAAAAAGUGUGAUGGAUAAAAGUAGCUUGACUAGUCGACUUUUGUGACCUUUGUUACUUGAAUAAGUAAGCCUUAGGGGUGUCUCUACACCUAGCGCCUUAAGAUCAUCUGGUUUGGGAGUCGUUGGUGGAAAGUUCGCUAAUGGGCAACUCUGAAAGCCUAAGAAAAUGAGACAUUGCACAUGUCAAGAAAAGAAAAAAAAUAAUACGAGAAAAGCAUGAAAAUACAUUCAUCUGUGCUAAAGAGGAUGUUCUAUAGAAAAAAAUUAAAAAGUAAGAAAAAUUUGUUCUUGGUUGUGAGUCAGUGUGCAUGGUUUUUGCUUCAUGGUAACUAAGUUGAGUAAGUAUGUAGAUUUUGGGAAAGUUACUUAUGUGGCUACAAUUUGGUUUAAUGAAAUUCAUUGGUGAAAUAGUAAGGUUUUUCAUUGUGAGUUAACUGAUAAGACAUUGAUUAGAAUUUUGCAAAUUUAGUUUUGAUAAUCAUGAUUUGUAUCUUGAAAUCUUUUGACAUGAUGGUUGAAUAGAAUUUUCUGGAAAUCAAACUUUUGAUUUACACGAGGACAAGUAAAAAGAUAAGUGUGGGGGAAUUUGAUGAGUAUGAAAUAUGUUAUAUUUUUAUUCCUUAAUACUUAAAUCUUUUAUAUUUAUUUUGUGCCUAAAUACACUCAUUGUUCUUAUAUUUUUAUUUUAGGUACAAUUGAAAAAUUCCGUGAAUUUGGAAAUAAUUUGAAGACAAAUUGAGUAUUAUUGGAUUAAAGGAGCUAAUAUUCAAGUGGGCCACGAAUUAUUCAAUUGGAGAAAGAAUUCCUAGCAAUCAAAAGCUAUGCACUGAUUCCAAACUAACAUUAUGGGCAACAUGAGAUCCUAGCCCAAUUAAUGCUCCAACAUAACAAGCACCCAUCCAAUCCUUUUAAAUUAAUAUUACAAAUCAUGUGGGCCACGGCUUGCUUUUGUUUUCAUGCAGCAAACUUGCAAUCCUUACAUUUAUUCAUGUGGGCAAUAUAUUCAUGGAUUCUAAUUCUAAUUGGAAGAGGAUUCACUAAGUCACAAAGAAUUCAGCAGCUUCACGCGACAUGGAAAAAUCCGAACGCAGCAUGGAGAGUUGGCUCACGGCAUAUUGUGGAAUUUAAUUCCAAUUUCAAAUCUAAUUUUUGGAUUCUAGAAAAUUAAUUUUUACAAUUCUAUUGUAAUUAGGAUUUCUUUUAGACUAAGAUUUAUUUCCAAGUUGAAUUCUAUUUCUCUAUAGAAAUUAGUGUAAUUUGUAAUUCCUUUAGGAUUUGGAUUUCUACUUCCUAUAGGAUUUAGGACUUUGUCUAGCACUAUAAAUAGAGGAUGAGAGUCAGGGUUUUAUUCAUUCAACAAUCAACUAUCAUCUAUUAGAAUGCAGACUCAAGAGUAUGUCAGGCUAGUUCUUUUCAUUCAGUUCUAAAGGGAGGUAGAACCUUGUUACAAGUAAUUGAUUAAUUGAGUAUUAUUAUUUAUUCCUUCUUGUGUGAAAUUUCUUUUGAUAAUUUGUUUUCAUUGAUUGCAUGCUAAUUGAUCUAAUUAAUAUAAUAUGGCCAAUUGAGUUAGUUUGAUCGUUAUCAUAUGCUAGAUUAAGAUUGGUAUUACGUGUAAUUGAUAUCUGUCUUCGUUGUCUUCGUCACAAGUAGCAACUUGGUAAUAAUAAUUGUGGACAAGCUUCUGUUUAUUGCUAAGAUUAUCAGAAAACAAGUUUAAAAAAUCGAACUUAUAUGUUUGUUACUUGGAUUAGCCUAAUUCUCUAUUUCUUAAUGCUUCUAUCAUAUUAAAUCUAGAGAGCUUAUUCUAGGUUGUAUGCUAGUUAGAAUCUGGUGGAGAGCUUGUUUCAUACAGUGCUAAUCUAAGGAGAAUUUCGGAUAGCAGAGCUUAUUGUUAUCUAGGGCUAAAAAUUUCAUUGAAGGGAAAAUAAUAAUUACUUGAUUAAUUGAUUGUUGUACUUGGUGAAACUGAACUGCAGAACUGAAGUUUUUACAUAUUUGGUUAAAUCAUUAAUUCUUGUUCUCUUAGUUUAAAAAUAAUUUUCAAAAACCCCCCAUCUUUAUUUUCUAUCAAAAUAAUAGAAUAAAUAUAAAACAAAUUAUUCUAUGUGGGAUCGAUCCUUACUUACCACUGUGCUAAUUGUUUGAAUUUGUAAAGUAAAAGUGAGUUAAUUUAGGAGUGUAAAUGACAGCUCCCAAUGGGUUAGUAUUAACAUCAGCAAAAAAAAGGGAUAAAGGAUAACCACAUGUGGGUCCAAAAUAAUUCUAUCUAACAUAUGUAAACAUUAAAAAAUUGUACAAGUACAAUCAUCUGUAUCAAUUACCAUGGCAUGUAUAUAGUGGAGUAAUAAAAGAAGUAAGUUUAGUAUAAGCUAUGUCACAUAAGGCAAAUAAAACAGAGCAAUCUCCUAGCAGGAUAAUGAUCACUAACCCGGAAACCAAUUUGCAUACAAACUUCAACCAGUGGCAUAUUGGAUUGUUUGAAGAUUGUUCACAAAAAACUGUCAAGUGUGAAAAAAGUUAGGUAACUCAACUAUAAUCCUAAAGGCAAAUGUUUCGGGGGUUAAGUUGGGUUGACCUUAUACAAGAUGCAAAGGUGAAUCCAUCCUUUGCAUAUGAUGGGCAAUUUUCCACCUUAGCUCUUGAAAAAUCACAAAAUAGAAGGUAUAAUGAACUUAUAUUUUGAACCCCUUGAAUUCUAAAAAAACAUUAACCUUUUAUAUAGAAUUUGAUCCCUUGUCUAUGAUGAACUUAAGUCCCUUACCUUUAGUCUUAAAAAAACACAUUCUAAUUUUUUUUUAACUUUAUUGCAACUACCAUUUGACCCCUUGUGUAAUACUAGCUCCACCUGCCGAGAUGGCUUGUCUAGAUCAGUACUAUAAAGGAAGCCCAAACUCUCCUUCCCAUUUUUUCUUCACAAGUGUUUUACAUUUUAUAUUUUAGAAAAGGAACAUAUUUCAAAUAAACUGAAAAUGCUUGCUUUCAGAUCAUAAGACAUUAUUUCAUAAGAAAGAGAAAUAUCAUCAAUUACUGCAUACUGCACAUUAACAAACAUUCAUAAACUUAAUACACUACCAAGCCAUCUUGAGCAACAUAACAUUAAAGAAACACAAAGAACAUGUCAAAAUUUACAAAAAAAGAGGAAAUAAUCUCCUGCACCUGUCUAAAGUCAACUUCAACAACCCACCAGUGAACACUAACAUGUAAUGCUGAGAGGGAAUGAUUUAAAUGGCAAUAAUACCAGCCACACUCAUGGGAUAAUGCUAUCCAAGAGAGCAUUUUUAGCAGGUUAAAAAUUAAACUAGACUAGACUGCAAAACUUUAUCACAAACAGCUUCUCUUUUUUCCUUUUUUUGGGUAUUUAAUACUUACUUUUAAUCUAAAGUUAAAUUAACCUCUACAUCCCACUUACAAAAUAAAAGAAGGAAACAUUCAGCAAAAAGUUUAUUGUAUGAUCUGCCAAAUAAAAUUCUCCCUAUUUACACAACAUUAGAAGAGAUUCCAAGUAAAAACCUAUGUCUUCUAAUACCUAAAAUCUGAACUUGGGGUUUAAGCUAAACAAAUGGCAAAUGUUCCUAGCCAAAAAAAAAAUCAACCACAAAUAGCAAGCAUAUUCAUUGUGACAAAUUACCGGGAUCAUUAAAAUAUAUAGCACAUGUGGGUUUGGUCUCUUAAGUACAUUAUAUUAUCCUCUCCUUGAUAUGCCUAAAAAAAUUAUAGUAAUCUGUACUAGAUAUCUCAAAUUUCAACAGAUUUCAAGUGUGAACAUAAAUGAGCUCAAUCAGGAUACAAAAGAAGAAACAAUUAACAUAUUUCCCUCUUGUAAAUGAACAGAAGAAGGCUGAGAAGACUAAACUACUAAAAACUGCAAAUUUGGUCAAAUACUCAAAUCUCUAUAGCUCAGAAAUCUGAAGAAAAAAGUUACAAACUGAUCUAAAAAUUCUACUAAAAAAAUUUAUCAAAUUACCAGGAAAAUCAGAUUCAACCAAAGCAUUUGUAGGUAGAAAAAACCCCAUAAAAAUAAAAUUAGAAGAUCUUAAAAGAAGAAUGAAUUGUCGGGCCGGGGACUCGGGGAUAGAAGAUGGGGUCAGUUUUGAGCUAGCAAAUCUAUAAUACCUCUACUGUGGUUUCGUCUCUUCGAGAUUGACUGAUGAUGACCGAUGAAGGGCCGCCGAAGGCGAUGAGGGAGGCGAUGCGCCGAUGGCCGUCGGCGACUUGAGAGUUCGAGAUCUGGUUUUGGGAUGAGAGAUUGAGAGUUCGAGAUCUAGGUACUUGGUCUGGGUUUGGGAAUUGAGAGAAUGAGAGUUACGACUUCAGAGUGGGC
RNAcentral lists this long non-coding RNA (14636 nucleotides) under Panax ginseng (ginseng). RNAcentral describes it as "long non-coding RNA (PGIN_LNC013152)". The record is from RNAcentral. Lineage: Eukaryota; Viridiplantae; Streptophyta; Magnoliopsida; Apiales; Araliaceae.